Brassica napus (rape) is the source of this 1077-nucleotide long non-coding RNA. RefSeq lists it as uncharacterized. The transcript has 3 exons. Lineage: Eukaryota; Viridiplantae; Streptophyta; Magnoliopsida; Brassicales; Brassicaceae. The record is from RefSeq and is a predicted model, not a curated record.
UAGUUAUAUAAAAAAGAGUUUGAAUCCCUCCUAGACUAUACACGUCGGCAGCCACGUCAUUAAUUCGCGCGCUGACAAGCCAACACGUGUUCCAGUUAAGUGAAACGCAACACUUCACUAAACUAUUUGUUACGUGGGUUUUUAUUUGACAUGGGCCUUCUUUUUGUUCGAUUAUGCCACUCCAUUAAUGUGUAUUUUCAAUUGGAAACGCGGCGUUGAAUGUCUUAGGGUUUUUUUUGCUUCAUCUCCGCCAUUCGAGAAUGAGACAGAACUAGAGUUCUAAGAGAUGUUUCAGCUUCUUAUUGUUAAUUUCUACCAGUUACAGAUUCCCCAUCUUAAAUUCCUUCUAAAAUCAUCACUCACGAUCUACCUUUGAGUUCUUCAUGCAAGGCGGUGUGAUCUCGAUUAUAAAAUGAUGGGUUUUCUGACUGGUGCUCGAAGCCUUGAAGAUUUACCUCUGGUAUAUUGAUUUCUCUUUAUGAAAAAAUUACUCUUCUAAAAGGAUGAGAGCAGUUUUCAGUUUUCAGAAAAUGAUCAUGCUGUUGGAAGCUCAAUAGAGAGCUAGAAGAUGCAGAGCAAAAGGUCACGGAAAUUAGGAAGAAGAUAACAACGUGUGUGAGUUGUCUAUGAUACAAGAACCGGUAACUAAUGGGGGAAAGAAGCUAUGAGUUGAUAACAUCAAUGCUGACAGUGGUUUUUCUGAGACAGAUUAUCCUGGUGACGAUAUUCCUGGAGCUGGAGCUGUGACAACAAAGCUCUCUUAAGGUGUGACCACUGACCAGGGACCUUUUGUAUACCAAGCUUAUACGGAGAAUCACAUCAUCCAUGGCACUACCAAUAGGUCCAUAAAUACGAAGCACUCGGUUGUGGUCGAUGGUUCAGACACGGAGGAGAUUUCUAGGUUAUUUAAUUUUUGUAAGAUGAUCUACCGUAGAAGACAUCAUGCCGUAUCAUUUUAUUAGAACAACACAACUUUUCCUUUGCUGCCUCUUUGUUUGAAUUCGCUUUUGACCAUUACCUUAUGUGCAUGUUCUCCCAACAUAUCAACCAUAUUUUUUAAUUAUGUUGAGAUCUUUA